Molecule: ribosomal RNA, 327 nt
Filed under: Vibrio campbellii
Lineage: Bacteria; Pseudomonadati; Pseudomonadota; Gammaproteobacteria; Vibrionales; Vibrionaceae
Description: bacterial SSU rRNA
Rfam family: Bacterial small subunit ribosomal RNA
Source: RNAcentral
CCAAAGAGGGGGACCGCAAGGCCUCUCGCUUCAGGAUAUGCCUAGGUGGGAUUAGCUAGUUGGUGAGGUAAGGGCUCACCAAGGCGACGAUCCCUAGCUGGUCUGAGAGGAUGAUCAGCCACACUGGAACUGAGACACGGUCCAGACUCCUACGGGAGGCAGCAGUGGGGAAUAUUGCACAAUGGGCGCAAGCCUGAUGCAGCCAUGCCGCGUGUGUGAAGAAGGCCUUCGGGUUGUAAAGCACUUUCAGUCGUGAGGAAGGUAGUGUAGUUAAUAGCUGCAUUAUUUGACGUUAGCGACAGAAGAAGCACCGGCUAACUCCGUGCC